This 440-nucleotide ribosomal RNA is filed under the name Staphylococcus chromogenes. Its description in RNAcentral is "bacterial SSU rRNA". It matches the Rfam family "Bacterial small subunit ribosomal RNA", at positions 69 to 494 of the family's 1533-position model. The record is from RNAcentral. Lineage: Bacteria; Bacillati; Bacillota; Bacilli; Caryophanales; Staphylococcaceae.
UGACGAGGAGCUUGCUCCUUUGACGUUAGCGGCGGACGGGUGAGUAACACGUGGGUAACCUACCUAUAAGACUGGAAUAACUCCGGGAAACCGGGGCUAAUGCCGGAUAACAUAUCGAACCGCAUGGUUCGAUAGUGAAAGACGGUCUUGCUGUCACUUAUAGAUGGACCCGCGCCGUAUUAGCUAGUUGGUGAGGUAACGGCUCACCAAGGCAACGAUACGUAGCCGACCUGAGAGGGUGAUCGGCCACACUGGAACUGAGACACGGUCCAGACUCCUACGGGAGGCAGCAGUAGGGAAUCUUCCGCAAUGGGCGAAAGCCUGACGGAGCAACGCCGCGUGAGUGAUGAAGGUCUUCGGAUCGUAAAGCUCUGUUGUUAGGGAAGAACAAAUGUGUAAGUAACUGUGCACAUCUUGACGGUACCUAACCAGAAAGCCAC